This 253-nucleotide ribosomal RNA is filed under the name uncultured bacterium. RNAcentral's name for it is "partial 16S ribosomal RNA". It matches the Rfam family "Bacterial small subunit ribosomal RNA", at positions 524 to 776 of the family's 1533-position model. The record is from RNAcentral.
UACGAAGGGGGCUAGCGUUGCUCGGAAUCACUGGGCGUAAAGCGCACGUAGGCGGAUUGUUAAGUCGGGGGUGAAAUCCUGGAGCUCAACUCCAGAGCUGCCUUCGAUACUGGCGAUCUCGAGUCCGGGAGAGGUGAGUGGAACUCCGAGUGUAGAGGUGAAAUUCGUAGAUAUUCGGAAGAACACCAGUGGCGAAGGCGGCUCACUGGCCCGGUACUGACGCUGAGGUGCGAAAGCGUGGGGAGCAAACAGG